Molecule: ribosomal RNA, 459 nt
Filed under: uncultured bacterium
Lineage: Bacteria
Description: partial 16S ribosomal RNA
Rfam family: Bacterial small subunit ribosomal RNA
Source: RNAcentral
GAUGAACGCUGGCGGCGCGCCUAACACAUGCAAGUCGAACGGCACCCCUCCUCGGAGGGAAGCGAGUGGCGAACGGCUGAGUAACACGUGGAGAACCUGCCCCCUCCCCCGGGAUAGCCGCCCGAAAGGACGGGUAAUACCGGAUACCCCGGGGUGCCGCAUGGCACCCCGGCUAAAGCCCCGACGGGAGGGGAUGGCUCCGCGGCCCAUCAGGUAGACGGCGGGGUGACGGCCCACCGUGCCGACAACGGGUAGCCGGGUUGAGAGACCGACCGGCCAGAUUGGGACUGAGACACGGCCCAGACUCCUACGGGAGGCAGCAGUGGGGAAUCUUGCGCAAUGGGGGGGACCCUGACGCAGCGACGCCGCGUGCGGGACGGAGGCCUUCGGGUCGUAAACCGCUUUCAGCAGGGAAGAGUCAAGACUGUACCUGCAGAAGAAGCCCCGGCUAACUACGUG